AUAAGGGAAUCUUUUGAGAUAUUCGAUAUAGAUGGGUCUGGUUAGUAUGAUCAAUCCCAGUUAUAAGUUUGUGUUACUUUUAAUUGGCUAACUAAGCAUUGUUUUUUUCGACUUGCUCAAGCUACUACUGAUUCCAAAGAGCUUGAUGCUACCUAUGAGGAUGUCGGUGUUCAAAAUGCUUGAUUUUGAAUAUAGUGGUCGUGAUUAAAAAAAAAAAAACGUUGUUGAAAUUUUUCGGAUGCAAAGACUGCUACAAAUUGAAUGGUCAGAGUCAUUUUUGGCUUCCAUACAUUUUAUGGAAAGGAGGACAUGCUACAAGGAUAUGUUGGAUUAUUUAAAUUGUCUCAGCCUAAUUAUUUUCUUCUCCCUUCAGGAACCCAUGCAGUAUCACUGACAGGCUGACAUAUAACAAGAGAGUAUGGAUCAAUUCUCCCUAAUCGUUUCAUUUUCAAGUUCAGGUGACACUUGUAUGAUUCAAGUUGAAACAUCUAAGCAUACUUAGAUUUGCUGGAGGGCUUAUUUGUUACUGCGGUGAGCCUCCGUUUUGUAAGAGAAGCUGUGCGGGAGCGACGCUGCGAGGAUAAUUGCACGGUCAUUGUUACUGUUUACAAGCACCGCGUGUGAUUGGUAUGAAAACUUUACUUUCAAUUUUAAAGGACCCUUUGUACUUGUUAAUUCAUAACUCGUAGGAGGCAGAGAUUAACCUACCCUUGUUUGGUGCUUUGCUCGUAUCCUGUUUUUUAUUUUUUUGUUUGUAGUGACUGUAAUAUAAAUAAUUGAGAACAUUAUCAGCAUUAAAGCGAUAACAGAUCUCAAAUGAUGGGCACACAUAUAGCAAAGGAGGAUCCGAGUGUAUGAAAAGAGUGACUGCAAAGUCUGCAAUGUGACUUAGGCUAGCUCAGGAAGACCUUCAUCCGUACUUGCAUUUGUAGAGCCUUCUGCUAAACCACAUCUCAAGUCAUAUAUGGAGGUAUAAUUGAUUUGCUUCGCGGAGCCGUAAAAGUAAACAAGGCAAGGAUCGAUAUAGUCAUCUGCCUAAUAAGUAUAGUCAUUGAUGGACUACUUUAUUAUUAAGAUACCGAUAGUCAGGUUAUUGUAACGAAAUAAUGGUCUAAACUGCUAUGAUUGUUGUAAUGGUCUAAAGUGCACAAUUUUUGGUUUAUACCAGAUACACUUUUUAAAUGUAACCUGGGUACAAUUUUAUUGAAAUACAAAGGUUUCUUUUCU
Molecule: long non-coding RNA, 1227 nt
Organism: Papaver somniferum (opium poppy)
Lineage: Eukaryota; Viridiplantae; Streptophyta; Magnoliopsida; Ranunculales; Papaveraceae
Exons: 5
Source: RefSeq, a predicted model, not a curated record